This 465-nucleotide ribosomal RNA is filed under the name Vreelandella stevensii. RNAcentral describes it as "partial 16S ribosomal RNA". It matches the Rfam family "Bacterial small subunit ribosomal RNA", at positions 338 to 795 of the family's 1533-position model. Lineage: Bacteria; Pseudomonadati; Pseudomonadota; Gammaproteobacteria; Oceanospirillales; Halomonadaceae. The record is from RNAcentral.
CCUACGGGCGGCUGCAGUGGGGAAUAUUGGACAAUGGGGGCAACCCUGAUCCAGCCAUGCCGCGUGUGUGAAGAAGGCCCUCGGGUUGUAAAGCACUUUCAGUGAGGAAGAACGCCUGGUGGUUAAUACCCAUCAGGAAAGACAUCACUCACAGAAGAAGCACCGGCUAACUCCGUGCCAGCAGCCGCGGUAAUACGGAGGGUGCGAGCGUUAAUCGGAAUUACUGGGCGUAAAGCGCGCGUAGGUGGCUUGAUAAGCCGGUUGUGAAAGCCCCGGGCUCAACCUGGGAACGGCAUCCGGAACUGUCGAGCUAGAGUGCAGGAGAGGAAGGUAGAAUUCCCGGUGUAGCGGUGAAAUGCGUAGAGAUCGGGAGGAAUACCAGUGGCGAAGGCGGCCUUCUGGACUGACACUGACACUGAGGUGCGAAAGCGUGGGUAGCAAACAGGAUUAGAUACCCGUGUAGUC